CAACAGGGAUUGCCCUAGUAACGGCGAGUGAAGCGGCAACAGCUCAAAUUUGAAAUCUGGCUCUCGGGCCCGAGUUGUAAUUUGUAGAGGAUGCUUUUGAUGCGGUGCCUUCCGAGUUCCCUGGAACGGGACGCCAUAGAGGGUGAGAGCCCCGUCUGGUUGGAUGCCAAAUCUCUGUAAAGCUCCUUCAACGAGUCGAGUAGUUUGGGAAUGCUGCUCUAAAUGGGAGGUAUAUGUCUUCUAAAGCUAAAUACCGGCCAGAGACCGAUAGCGCACAAGUAGAGUGAUCGAAAGAUGAAAAGCACUUUGAAAAGAGAGUUAAAAAGUACGUGAAAUUGUUGAAAGGGAAGCGUUUAUGACCAGACUUGGGCUUGGUUAAUCAUCUGGGGUUCUCCCCAGUGCACUUUUCCAGUCCAGGCCAGCAUCAGUUUUCCCCGGGGGAUAAAGGCGGCGGGAAUGUGGCUCUCUUCGGGGAGUGUUAUAGCCCGCCGUGUAAUACCCUGGGGGGGACUGAGGUUCGCGCAUCUGCAAGGAU
RNAcentral lists this ribosomal RNA (535 nucleotides) under Fusarium commune. RNAcentral's name for it is "partial 28S ribosomal RNA". It matches the Rfam family "Eukaryotic large subunit ribosomal RNA", at positions 66 to 624 of the family's 3401-position model. Lineage: Eukaryota; Fungi; Ascomycota; Sordariomycetes; Hypocreales; Nectriaceae. The record is from RNAcentral.